CUAUCCAAUUGAGUAAUCGAGAGGAUAGUUAGUGGCGAAAGGGUUAGUAACGGGUAGGUAACGUACCCUGUGCUUUGGGAUAGCGUCGUUCGCCUUCGGGCGAGCUUCCGAAAGGGGCGGUAAUACCGGAUAAUAUCAUUUGUCGAUGGACGGAUGUUCAAAGAUUUAUCGGCGCUGGAGCGGCCUAUCUCCUAUCAGCUUGUUGGUGAGGUAAUGGCUCACCAAGGCAAUGACGGGUAGCGGGACUGAGAGGUUGGCCCGCAACAUCGGGACUGAGACACUGCCCGGACCUCCACGGAGGGCUGCAGUAACGAAUCUUGCGCAAUGGGCGAAAGCCUGACGCAGCGACGCCGCGUGCGGGAGGAAGUCCCUCGGGAUGUAAACCGCUGUCAGGGGGAAGAAAGUUCACUUCGGUGGAUUGAUCUAACCCAAAGGAAGUCACGGCUAACUUCGUGCCAGCAGCCGCGGUAAGACGAAGGUGGCAAGCGUUGUUCGGUAUCACUGGGCUUAAAGCGUGUGUAGGCGGGAAGGCAAGCGUCCUGUGAAAGCCCCCGGCUUAACCGGGGAAUUGCUCGACGAACUGCCUUUCUUGAGGCAAGUAGGGGUGCAUGGAACUCUUGGUGGAGCGGUGGAAUGCGUAGAUAUCAAGAGGAACGCCGGCGGUGAAAACGGUGCACUGGGCUUGUUCUGACGCUGAGACACGAAAGCGUGGGUAGCGAACGGGAUUAGAUACCCCGGUAG
Molecule: ribosomal RNA, 741 nt
Filed under: uncultured bacterium
Lineage: Bacteria
Description: bacterial SSU rRNA
Rfam family: Bacterial small subunit ribosomal RNA
Source: RNAcentral